CGCUAGCCCCGAUGGAAGCGGUAUCCUUUUUCCUGCUUCUUUAGCAGGAAAAAGAUAUAGCGGACAGCGGGAAAGUUA
This 78-nucleotide small RNA is filed under the name Flavobacterium cutihirudinis. RNAcentral's name for it is "Flavo-1 RNA". It matches the Rfam family "Flavo-1 RNA". The record is from RNAcentral. Lineage: Bacteria; Pseudomonadati; Bacteroidota; Flavobacteriia; Flavobacteriales; Flavobacteriaceae.